AUCACAAAUUGCUAUUUAUCUAGGUAAUACUUUUUAUUUACGCAUUUAUUUGGUCACGUAAAUGUGCUUAGACCUAAUAAACAUAUGUAGUUGGUGAAAAUUAAUGCAUGACUCGUAAGCAGAGUAUGGAAUGUAAGCAUGUGCCAUGAAACUGCAAUUCUUUUAUCCUGUAUUUUCCAUCAUUUACAUACCGGUUCCAUUUAGAAGAUAGUCCAUUUUCACUUUUUUUUCAUAGAUUGGCCAAAAUGGGAAGGAUUGGAUUCCACUCUCUUCCACGAAGAGUCAAUGGGACUGGCUAAGAUCAAAGUCUGAGGCUUUUUCCAUCAGUAAUCAGUCCCUUUUUGCUUUCUUUUACGACCACAUGAAACUUGAGAAGCCACCUAAAGCUAUAUCAUUUAGUGGAGUUGGGCAGUUCCCAAGUGUCCAACAAGAAGGCCUGGUUUAGGCUGCGAUGGCCACUGUCAUUCCUGGUGAUUUGUCAGAAGUAAGAGAUACCCAGAAAGUCCCUUCAGGGAAACGUAAGCGUGGUGAAACCAAACCAAGAAAAAACUUUCCUUGCCAACUGUGUGACAAGGCCUUUAACAGUGUUGAGAAAUUAAAGGUUCACUCCUACUCUCACACAGGAGAGAGGCCCUACAAGUGCAUACAACAAGACUGCACCAAGGCCUUUGUUUCUAAGUACAAAUUACAAAGGCACAUGGCUACUCAUUCUCCUGAGAAAACCCACAAGUGUAAUUAUUGUGAGAAAAUGUUUCACCGGAAAGAUCAUCUGAAGAAUCACCUCCAUACACACGACCCUAACAAAGAGACGUUUAAGUGCGAAGAAUGUGGCAAGAACUACAAUACCAAGCUUGGAUUUAAACGUCACUUGGCCUUGCAUGCCGCAACAAGUGGUGACCUCACCUGUAAGGUAUGUUUGCAAACUUUUGAAAGCACGGGAGUGCUUCUGGAGCACCUUAAAUCUCAUGCAGGCAAGUCGUCUGGUGGGGUUAAAGAAAAAAAGCACCAGUGCGAACAUUGUGAUCGCCGGUUCUACACCCGAAAGGAUGUCCGGAGACACAUGGUGGUGCACACUGGAAGAAAGGACUUCCUCUGUCAGUAUUGUGCACAGAGAUUUGGGCGAAAGGAUCACCUGACUCGACAUAUGAAGAAGAGUCACAAUCAAGAGCUUCUGAAGGUCAAAACAGAACCAGUGGAUUUCCUUGACCCAUUUACCUGCAAUGUGUCUGUGCCUAUAAAAGACGAGCUCCUUCCGGUGAUGUCCUUACCUUCCAGUGAACUGUUAUCAAAGCCAUUCACAAACACUUUGCAGUUAAACCUCUACAACACUCCAUUUCAGUCCAUGCAGAGCUCGGGAUCUGCCCACCAAAUGAUCACAACUUUACCUUUGGGAAUGACAUGCCCAAUAGAUAUGGACACUGUUCAUCCCUCUCACCACCUUUCUUUCAAAUAUCCGUUCAGUUCUACCUCAUAUGCAAUUUCUAUUCCUGAAAAAGAACAGCCAUUAAAGGGGGAAAUUGAGAGUUACCUGAUGGAGUUACAAGGUGGCGUGCCCUCUUCAUCCCAAGAUUCUCAAGCAUCGUCAUCAUCUAAGCUAGGGUUGGAUCCUCAGAUUGGGUCCCUAGAUGAUGGUGCAGGAGACCUCUCCCUAUCCAAAAGCUCUAUCUCCAUCAGUGACCCCCUAAACACACCAGCAUUGGAUUUUUCUCAGUUGUUUAAUUUCAUACCUUUAAAUGGUCCUCCCUAUAAUCCUCUAUCAGUGGGGAGCCUUGGAAUGAGCUAUUCCCAGGAAGAAGCACAUUCUUCUGUUUCCCAGCUCCCCCCACAAACACAGGAUCUUCAGGAUCCUGCAAACACUAUAGGGCUUGGGUCUCUGCACUCACUGUCAGCAGCUUUCACCAGCAGUUUAAGCACAAGUACCACCCUCCCACGUUUCCAUCAAGCUUUUCAGUAGGAUUCUGGGACAUGGAUUCAUUACAGAAAUGUAUGUGUAGCUGUGCCCUAGAUGACCAUUUUUAUUUUAGUGCCUACUUUAAAACAGUAUAAAAAUUUCUGCUUUUGUAUAAUACAAAUUUUCAUUAAGCCAGUAUAAAAUAGAAACUAGCUUUUAAACUGAGCUUUGGAACCAUUUGUGUUCAGUUAAGUUUACCUGGGUAUUUUGUC
RNAcentral lists this small RNA (2163 nucleotides) under Pan troglodytes (chimpanzee). Its description in RNAcentral is "retained intron". The record is from RNAcentral. Lineage: Eukaryota; Metazoa; Chordata; Mammalia; Primates; Hominidae.